CUGUUUUAACUGUUUUAACAGACUGAAGAAGGAUGCCUGACAGACAAGCUGAGGGGUGAAGUGUCUCCGUGAUGAUGGACUACAAAGCUCCUGGUAGACGAGACGCGUCUGAUCUGCAGAGUGUUCCCUUCAGAGGUGAGCUGGUUAAAGGACUGAGUGUUGGACGCAGCAUCACUGUUAAAGGAGAAACCAAUCAACGCACAGAGGAAACACUUUUUUCAACACACUAUACUAUAACUUUUUUACAACUUUUUUCCGACAUAUACUAUGACUUUUUUUAUGACAUUUUUGACAUACUGUACUAUGACUUUUUUCGACAUACUAUAACAGGAAUAGCAUCACUCACCCCGGCCACAGACUGUUUGCCUUCCUGCCUUCCUGCCUUCUGCGAUGCGCUACAGGACUCUCCGUUCCAGGACCAGCAGACUCAGGAACAGCCGUCUCUCCUCAGCAGACACCUUGCUGAAAUCUGCAUCUCUGUGACAGCAAUCAGACACACUGUUAAUACUGUUCCUACUGAACAUACUGCAUAUAUCUACUGUAUUCAUACCAAUUGCCAUUUAUUCAACAUACAAUAUUUUAUUCUGUUUUUUGUUGUACAUCCUGCAUUAUGUUGUCUCAGUACCUUUACU
Long non-coding RNA from Sebastes umbrosus (honeycomb rockfish), 632 nucleotides. RefSeq lists it as uncharacterized. The record is from RefSeq and is a predicted model, not a curated record. The transcript is spliced from 3 exons. NCBI's taxonomy places the organism in Eukaryota, Metazoa, Chordata, Actinopteri, Perciformes, Sebastidae.